UCGAGCGAAUGGAUUAAGAGCUUGCUCUUAUGAAGUUAGCGGCGGACGGGUGAGUAACACGUGGGUAACCUGCCCAUAAGACUGGGAUAACUCCGGGAAACCGGGGCUAAUACCGGAUAACAUUUUGAACCGCAUGGUUCGAAAUUGAAAGGCGGCUUCGGCUGUCACUUAUGGAUGGACCCGCGUCGCAUUAGCUAGUUGGUGAGGUAACGGCUCACCAAGGCAACGAUGCGUAGCCGACCUGAGAGGGUGAUCGGCCACACUGGGACUGAGACACGGCCCAGACUCCUACGGGAGGCAGCAGUAGGGAAUCUUCCGCAAUGGACGAAAGUCUGACGGAGCAACGCCGCGUGAGUGAUGAAGGCUUUCGGGUCGUAAAACUCUGUUGUUAGGGAAGAACAAGUGCUAGUUGAAUAAGCUGGCACCUUGACGGUACCUAACCAGAAAGCCACGGCUAACUACGUGCCAGCAGCCGCGGUAAUACGUAGGUGGCAAGCGUUAUCCGGAAUUAUUGGGCGUAAAGCGCGCGCAGGUGGUUUCUUAAGUCUGAUGUGAAAGCCCACGGCUCAACCGUGGAGGGUCAUUGGAAA
RNAcentral lists this ribosomal RNA (590 nucleotides) under Bacillus sp. CH407a_13C. RNAcentral's name for it is "bacterial SSU rRNA". It matches the Rfam family "Bacterial small subunit ribosomal RNA", at positions 62 to 632 of the family's 1533-position model. The record is from RNAcentral. Lineage: Bacteria; Bacillati; Bacillota; Bacilli; Caryophanales; Bacillaceae.